Long non-coding RNA from Haplochromis burtoni (Burton's mouthbrooder), 2298 nucleotides. RefSeq lists it as uncharacterized. Lineage: Eukaryota; Metazoa; Chordata; Actinopteri; Cichliformes; Cichlidae. The transcript has 4 exons. The record is from RefSeq and is a predicted model, not a curated record.
AAGAUGACACGAGUAAGGAGGAAAAAAAGUAACAUCAGAGCAGAUAAAAAUGGGGAGUGGGGACGUGACAGAUAAAAGGAACCACAGAGUGCAGUAGAGCAGAACUUGCGCUGUCUUUCUGAUCAGAGAAGUUGCCGAGUUUUUAAAAGACUGAUCUGAAUGUAAGCCAACAAAUCAUAUCAACUCUGUGGCUAAUGGCAAGGAGCCUAACAGCGUAAGAGGAGGAGUUUUUUUAAACGACCAGUUUGAAUCCAAACCAAUAUAUCUCAACGUCUAAAAGCACGUGACUGAGAACAGAUCAGGAGCUGAAAGAACAUCUUAACAACACAAGACCCUGACUGCGCAGAAGCCACUAUAUUUGUUCCUGAAAGAAGAAAAAUUUAGAUCUUUGUAGUAAAUUUAAUAACUGACGUACAACAAUAAUGUUGAAAUAUUUCAAACGAGAAGAAGAGCCCAAAAAGCUUUCAGAUACUAUAAAAAAAGAUGGCAAACAAUCAAAAACACAUACAGAGCCUCUCCCUGUUAAUAUAAUUAAACUGAAAAAAAAUGAUAAAUUCAAUGUCGAUGGAUGCAAGAGUUUCACUUUUGGGAAAGCGUCCAGUAAACCUAAUCGCACCAUAAUGGUUCUCGGAGCGACUGGUGCUGGGAAGUCAACUCUCAUCAACGGGAUGAUCAAUUACAUUUUAGGUGUUAAAUGGGAGGAUCCACAUCGCUUUAAGUUAGUUGAUGAGGGUCAGUCAACAUCACAAGCUCAAAGUCAGACCUCUGAAGUCACUGUGUACAAAAUCAACCACCAGGAUGGAUUUCAAAUCCCGUUCUCUCUGACCAUUGUUGACACUCCAGGCUUUGGAGAUACAAGAGGCAUAGAAAGAGACAGAGAGAUCACAGAGCAGCUACGUAAUCUCUUCUCUGCUCAGCACGGUGUCACUGACAUUGAUGCUGUGUGUUUUGUAGCUCAGGCUGCUUUAGCACGACUCACAGCAACACAGAAAUAUGUGUUUGAUUCAGUGCUCUCAAUCUUUGGCAAAGAUGUGGCAGAAAACAUCAGGAUCCUGGUGACAUUUGCAGACGGUCAGCGACCUCCAGUUCUCGAGGCGAUCAAUGCUGCAGGAGUCCCAUGUCCUAAAACAAACAACCUGCCGGUUCACUUCAAAUUCAAUAACUCAGCGCUGUUUGCAAAUAACAAAUCAGCUGAAGGAGACAGAAUGAGUGAUGAUGAUGAAGAAGAAGGUGGCUUUGAUAAGAUGUUUUGGGAGAUGGGCACAAGAAGCAUGAAGAGGUUUUUUGCUGCUCUGAAUAAAAUAGAAACUAAAAGCUUGACACUGACAAGGGAAGUCCUCAGAGAAAGAAAGCAGCUCGAGAAUUCGGUUGAGAAUCUGCAGGUGCAGGUGAAACUUGGGUUAGCCAAGAUUGAGGAGAUAAAAGAGACGAGUAAAAAAGUUAAAGAUCAUGAAGCAGAGAUCGGCAGAAAUGAGAACUUUGAAUUUGAAGUUACUGUCAAAAAGCCUGUUCAGGAGGACAUUUCUGGCUCUGGAAACUACAUCACCAACUGUCAGCAGUGUCAUGUCACCUGCCACUACCCUUGUGCCAUACCAAAUGAUGCAGAUAAAAGGGGCUGUGCAGCAAUUGGAUCAAAUGGAUAUUGUACAGAGUGCUCAGGGAAAUGUAUUUGGAAUGUACACUUUAAUCAGAAGUACAAAUGGGGCUAUAAAGAUGUUAAAGAAAAAAGAACAAUAAAAGAGCUGAAAGAAAAGUACCUGAAAGCCACAGGAGAGAAGAUGACUGUUCAAGCACUGGUUGACAAACUGAAUGCUGAGUAUGAAAGUUUGCAGGCUGACGUAGUGAAACUGAUGGAGAAAUCUUCCAAGUGUCUGAACAGACUUAAAGAGAUAGCACUGAAGCCCAACCCUCUGUCCACUCCAGAGUACAUCGACAUGCUUAUUGAAGGAGAGAAAUCUGAGGGCAAACCAGGCUGGAAGAGACGAGUUCAGUCUCUGAUGUCCAUGAAGGAAAAAGCAGAGACAAUGGCUAAAAUAGAGGAAGGAAAGAAACUCCUGCAUCAUCAAAAAUCACUUGAUGUUAAUGCUUAGCCAAAUCCAUGAAACAGCACAUAGUCACAGGCAGUCAGAUAAUGAUAGAGGGUAAAAUCACAGCCAGCUGCAGCAACCUCUGAAUGAUUUUAAAGUUUCACCACUUUUUGUAUUUAUGAUUCUGAAAGUUUAGAAAGAAUAUGUACUUGACCUACUACAAGCAACUUCAAAGUUAAAUAAAACAUAAUAAAAUUCAUUGUUUUUUUAA